CAUACCACGAUGCGGCUUUAGUCCGCGUGAAAACACGACGGGAACAGCAACUACCGCUGACGUCAGGCGUCCAAGACGUCGUCGACGUCGGUAUCGUCUUCUUCGAUGUACUUCGCCUACUUCUAUCACCCUCGAGAGCCCAUGUAGACGUCCACCACGAGGUUAAUUCGCGACAAGAACUUCGGAUUUCGAUAAUGAGGAACGAUCGUAUAAAAUUUCAAAAAUGAUGGAGUUAAAGCUUGUCCUCGACGGUGGUCAAAAGCAUCAUUGUCAUCAAGAUCUUGUGACCUGAAGAUCUUCGUGACCAAUAUGAGUACGCGUACGUUUGCCCAUUGCCGAUCGAAAAUGUAGAAGAAACUCUAGAAUCCUGACCCCGUGUCAACCAGGAUUCUACAGUACCUUCCACAA
Molecule: long non-coding RNA, 408 nt
Organism: Agrilus planipennis (emerald ash borer)
Lineage: Eukaryota; Metazoa; Arthropoda; Insecta; Coleoptera; Buprestidae
Exons: 2
Source: RefSeq, a predicted model, not a curated record